This 236-nucleotide ribosomal RNA is filed under the name uncultured Actinomycetales bacterium. Its description in RNAcentral is "partial 16S ribosomal RNA". It matches the Rfam family "Bacterial small subunit ribosomal RNA", at positions 96 to 334 of the family's 1533-position model. Lineage: Bacteria; Bacillati; Actinomycetota; Actinomycetes; Actinomycetales. The record is from RNAcentral.
UGGCGAACGGGUGAGUAACACGUGGGUAAUCUGCCCUGCACUCUGGGAUAAGCCUGGGAAACUGGGUCUAAUACUGGAUAUGACCUUUCUCCUUAUGGGGUUUGGUGGAAAGUUUUUCGGUGUAGGAUGAGCCCGCGGCCUAUCAGCUUGUCGGUGGGGUGAUGGCCUACCAAGGCGACGACGGGUAGCCGGCCUGAGAGGGUGAUCGGCCACAUUGGGACUGAGAUACGGCCCAG